AGCUCCAAUAGCGUAUAUUAAAGUUGUUGCAGUUAAAAAGCUCGUAGUUGGAUUUCUGGUUUGAUGCGCCUGGCCCGCCACGGUUUACGUGUGUGAGUGCCGGCGCGCGUCUGCCAUCCUUCUAGAAAACGUUUCUACGGUUCAUUCCGGCGGAUUCGCGAUCUAGAUCUUUUACUUUGAAAAAAUUAGAGUGUUUAAAGCAGGCUUUUGCUAUGAAUACAUUAGCAUGGAAUAAUAAUUUAGGACUUUGGUUCUAUUUUGUUGGUUUCUAGGACUGAAGUAAUGAUUGAUAGGGAUUGUUGGGGGUGCUAGUAUUCAGCGGCCAGAGGUGAAAUUCUCGGAUUCGCUGAAGACUAACUUAUGCGAAAGCAUUCACCAAGGAAGUCUUCU
RNAcentral lists this ribosomal RNA (390 nucleotides) under uncultured eukaryote. RNAcentral's name for it is "SSU rRNA". It matches the Rfam family "Eukaryotic small subunit ribosomal RNA", at positions 587 to 972 of the family's 1831-position model. The record is from RNAcentral.